GGGUUGUGAGGUUAAGCGACUAAGCGUACACGGUGGAUGCCCUGGCAGUCAGAGGCGAUGAAGGGCGUGCUAAUCUGCGAUAAGCGCCGGUAAGGUGAUAUGAACCGUUAUAACCGGCGAUACCCGAAUGGGGAAACCCAGUGUGAUUCGUCACACUAUCAUUAACUGAAUCCAUAGGUUAAUGAGGCGAACCGGGGGAACUGAAACAUCUAAGUACCCCGAGGAAAAGAAAUCAACCGAGAUUCCCCCAGUAGCGGCGAGCGAACGGGGAGGAGCCCAGAGCCUGAAUCAGCAUGUGUGUUAGUGGAAGCGUCUGGAAAGUCGCGCGAU
Molecule: ribosomal RNA, 330 nt
Filed under: Salmonella enterica subsp. enterica serovar Stanley
Lineage: Bacteria; Pseudomonadati; Pseudomonadota; Gammaproteobacteria; Enterobacterales; Enterobacteriaceae
Description: partial 23S ribosomal RNA
Rfam family: Bacterial large subunit ribosomal RNA
Source: RNAcentral